RNAcentral lists this ribosomal RNA (301 nucleotides) under uncultured bacterium. RNAcentral describes it as "partial 16S ribosomal RNA". It matches the Rfam family "Bacterial small subunit ribosomal RNA", at positions 509 to 807 of the family's 1533-position model. The record is from RNAcentral.
CAGCAGCCACGGUAAUACGAAGGGUGCAAGCGUUACUCGGAAUUACUGGGCGUAAAGCGUGCGUAGGUGGUGGUUUAAGUCCGUUGUGAAAGCCCUGGGCUCAACCUGGGAAUUGCAGUGGAUACUGGGUCACUAGAGUGUGGUAGAGGAUAGUGGAAUUUCCGGUGUAGCAGUGAAAUGCGUAGAGAUCGGAAGGAACAUCUGUGGCGAAGGCGACUAUCUGGGCCAACACUAACACUGAGGCACGAAAGCGUGGGGAGCAAACAGGAUUAGAUACCCCGGUAGUCCCUGUCUCUUAUAC